This is a non-coding RNA of Podarcis lilfordi (Lilford's wall lizard), 73 nucleotides long. Lineage: Eukaryota; Metazoa; Chordata; Lepidosauria; Squamata; Lacertidae. The record is from the annotation of a GenBank genome assembly.
GGAUAUUUCUCUUCAGUGGUAGAACAUCUGCUUUGCAUGCAGAAGAAUCUAGGUUCAGCCCCUGGUAUCUCCA